UUUGACCUGACCAGAAUUCCUUUCUUCGUUUUGUCAUAAGCAGCAUUCUGACUUUCUGUUGGACAUAAACUACUUUUAUACCACGAACCGCUGAAGAGCAUCACUUUCAUGUAACCUUCACACACUAUCUCCAAGGGCAAGCACAGGAGUCAGUACUUGCCAAUCCGAGAGAUUCAUUCUCCAGCCCAAAAUAAUAGGGCCUGUGAUCCAAGAAAGGCCUCAUGAUCUCUGUUGGAACUACAGAGACAGUAAUUCUUUCAUAGGAGUUGCAAUGCAGAAUUAGAUUAGAGAGAGUAGUAUUUUUCACCUUGUAGAAAGACAUAGCUUGCAAAUUAACCCAGUUGGAAGAAAAAUAGGGCCAAGGGAAGAAGACAAAGAAUGAGAGAAUUAACCCUGUUGACAUUGUUUGAAUUACUGGUUCAAUCUGUGUCUGAUCUCUUAGCUAGGGAGUUUAUCCCCAGAUAAUUCUGUCACUUCUAAACAUUUUCUUUUUUAGAAAAUUAAUACAAUUUAAUUGUUUUCUGUUAUUUGUAAUCAAAAGAGAACUGCCUAUUACAGUUGUGUUUAUUAACUUCGAAAUAAUAUUUACUGAUUAUUUUUCUGGUUUAUUCAUAAUGAGAUGUAGACCAAAAACUUGUGGAUUACACAAUGUAAAUCCCUCCUCACUAAUGGAGAAUAAAAACCCAGAAGCAUAUUUUUUGUGACUUAUGUAAAUUUCAUUAUUUUGCUUUUAAAUAAGCACAUAUUUUUAUAUAUUUUUUUAAAAACUAAACUUCAAAGACCACUUCUGUAUUCCAAUCUGUAAAAAAUAUUUUCAUUAUGUUUAUUAUAAAAAUAUAAAUGUUUCCACUACAAAUCAUUUUACAUUAGUAAGAGGCCAUCUACAUUGUACAACAUAAACUGAGUAAUAUUUUGAAAAGACAAGUUUAAAGUAAACACAUACUGCCAAUCAUAUCACAUUUAUACAUGGCUUGAUUGAUAUUUAGCACAGCAUAAACUGAGUGAGUUACCAGAAAUAAAUAAUAUAUGCAAAUCAAAUUUAAGAUACAAAACAGAUCAUAUGGUACAUAACAUCGUGAAGGAGUUGCGACCUUAUGUUUACUGAAAGUCAAUGCAGUUCCUGUGCAAAGAGAUGGCCAUAAGCAUUCUAGUACCUCUACUCCACGGUUAAGAAUCGUACACUUAUGUUUACAUAUGUACAGGGUAAGAAUUGUGUAAAGGAAAUUUAUGAGAGGUCAAGUAGAAAAAUAUUAAUAAAAUGAAGAACAGUAUAUGGUGUAUACAACCUCUACUUUCAAAUGGAAAUCACAGCCAAAAUAAGUGAAACAGAUUCAACAAUCCUCAACUUCUAUUAGUUUAUGAAAUGCAUGGGUUUUGUUGAGUGUGCUCAGAAUAGUACCUAAAAAAGUAAAUAUUAGUCUGGGAAAAAAUUAGAUUGAAACCAUAUUCAGAUCUCAUUCUAACACUCCAAACACAAAAUACUUGAUUAAAAAAAACGUUUUCUAACUGCUGACAGGAGGUAUAAUGAAAUUUGUGAUUAAUUUUAUAAUCACAAGUGUAUUUUUAAAAAUGUCAUGCUC
Molecule: long non-coding RNA, 1580 nt
Organism: Macaca fascicularis (crab-eating macaque)
Lineage: Eukaryota; Metazoa; Chordata; Mammalia; Primates; Cercopithecidae
Source: Ensembl